Molecule: non-coding RNA, 1901 nt
Organism: Kogia breviceps (pygmy sperm whale)
Lineage: Eukaryota; Metazoa; Chordata; Mammalia; Artiodactyla; Physeteridae
Source: RefSeq, a predicted model, not a curated record
GCAGCCGAGGCUGUAAUCUCAGAGACAAGGGGCCCAGACCUGGGAGGCUGGGCUGGAAACUGCCCCCUGCCCUGACUUCUCAGAGCAUAAAGGCUCUGUCCUUUGGGGAAGGUCAUCUCCCACCACAAUGCACAGACACCCAGCUACACAGCUCUGCCGCUCUUUCUGCAGUCUUGGUGGGGAAGCUAAGACCCCGGCUCUGGUCUCUUGAGACCUUGAGGAGCGUGACCAGCUCUCAAUCCCUAGUCUGCUCCAUGGAUCUGAGAACUUUGGGGCAUAUGUGGCAGAGGACGAGUAUCAAAGUCCUGCACUAAAACUCAGGCUUGCAAACCCAGCAACAGGAAUGCUGCCCAGCACUGCAGCGCCGGCAGAGCAGAGAAGAACCGGCCUCCACCUUCCAUCCUCUUGGAACACCAGCGGGAGCCCUGCUCCAGACCAGCCGUUCUCCCACGGCGGGUUAUGGGUUGGGACAGGCAGAGGUACCUGGGUCGUCAAACCAGGAACAUUAUCUUUCCAGGUGCAAUAAACAUACUGAGGCAUAAGCAAGCAGAAGAAGCUGAGCCACGGGUGCUACUCAUGUUUCCAGAUCACUCUGUAGGGCUACUCUCUGCCCUCCAGCCCUAGGCUAGUACUCAUACCGUGGAACCCAGGAGGCCUCAGUCGGUGAGGGCUACAGGAUGACAGCACGGCUGCCCCUGUGCUCUGCUGUGAGCUCCCUGCGUGCAUCUCUGGGAGCGAGGAGCGAGCCAGCUGUGUCUCCUCCCGUUUGCAAGCCCACUUUACGGAGGCAGUCACCUCAGCCCUCCAAGUAUUCCCAAACCACCCCUCCAGCUUCCGGAAAGAGAGAAGGAAUAAGAAACCAGAACCAGAAAAUGUAAAAGGGACUGGAGAACAAAACAAGGGCAUCUUUUAUCACCCCCUCUUCACAAGUGCAGGACUGCCCGAUUUUUAAAACAAGGUAAAUCGUGUUACUCGGCCCUCUUCCCCUUCUAGUUGCUGUCUAAUCUCUCAACUCACUGCCAAGCUCCUCAAAUGCCGGGGUCACACCCACUGCCUCCACUUCCUGGCCACUCAUCCUUUUCUUAAUACCUUGCUGCAGCCUGGCUCUGCCCUGUGACUGCAGAAGGUGCUUGCUCCAAGAUCACCCGAGUUCUUCCUCUGUGCCACCCUGACAUUCAGUCUGUCUUUGGCAUCUGACGCUAUGGCCACCUGCUCCUCUUGAAGAACUUCUUCUGGCUUUUAGGAAACUGCCCUUUUCUCGUGCUCCUUGGUGCUCUUUGAGUCGCCUUCUCCAAGCUCUCCAAUCUCAUGGCCGUCCCCCGAGGCAGUCGGUCUCAUGUACCAGCCCUGCCCGCCAGUCCCAUUAAUUCCAAUUUCCUACAGGGAUGCAGACCAUCUUCGUCAGGUGCCCCACUGUGACCUCCAACUCCCCUGAACCAAACACGUUUUCCUCUUCCUGCCCUCCUAAGAGCUUGUUCCCUUUUGCUGCUACCCCCAUCCUUGCCAACAUCACACAGUCAUGAGUCUGCCUUCCUCAUUUCCUGGGUCCAGUCUGGCAGCAAGGCAUUUUAUUUCUUCCUGAGAAAUCCUUCCAGCCUCGCCCUUUCCCCUUUGCAUCUGCUGGCCCUGCUCUUCUCCUGACCUUGAUCGUUACCCUAUCCUCCUCUCCAAUCUCCCUGCCUCCAACCUCUUCUCCCUCAAAGUGCCCAGUAAUACCUGUGCUGGGCCCUCGAACUCUGCUGUCAUGACAUCACAGUGACUGCUCCCAGGUCUACAGAGCUUUAGUCAUUCUUCACUACCUCUAGGACACUGUCUAUUUUGCUGGUCUGGGACACAUGGCAGAGUCAGCAGAAAGCACCUUGGAGUAAGACAGAAUGGGGCUUGAAUCCCAGCACCACACU